RNAcentral lists this ribosomal RNA (1489 nucleotides) under uncultured Bordetella sp. RNAcentral's name for it is "partial 16S-23S ribosomal RNA intergenic spacer". It matches the Rfam family "Bacterial small subunit ribosomal RNA". The record is from RNAcentral. Lineage: Bacteria; Pseudomonadati; Pseudomonadota; Betaproteobacteria; Burkholderiales; Alcaligenaceae.
GGUUCGAUCAUGUCAGAUUGAACGCUGGCCGGGAUGCUUUACACAUAAGUCGAACGGCACGGACUUCGGUCUGGUGGCGAGUGGCGAACGGGUGAGUAAUGUAUCGGAACGAUGCCCUAGUAACUGAGGAUAACUACGCGAAAGCGGCUAAUACCAUGCGCCCUUCAAGGGAAAGCAGCGGGGGACCUUCGGGCCUCACUAUUGGAAGCAGCCGAUAUCGGAUUAGCUAGUUGGUGGGGUAACGGCUCACCAAGGCGACGCGAUCCGUAGCUGGUUUGAGGACGACCAAACCCUGGGACUGAGACACGGCCCAGACUCCUACAGGAGGCAGCAGUGGGGAAUUUUGGACAAUGGAAACCUGAUCCAGCCAUCACGUGUGCGAUGAGGCCUUCGGGUUGUAAGCACUUUUGGCAGGAAAGAAACGGCACGGGAUAAUACCCCGUACGUGGCAGCCGAACACCUGCAGAAUAAGCACCGGCUAACUACGUGCCAGCAGCCGCGGUAACGUAGGGUGCAAGCUGACGUUAAUCGGAAUUACUGGGCGUAAAGCGUGCGCAGGCGGUUCGGAAGAAAAGAUGUGAAAUCCCAGAGCUUAACUUUGGAACUGCAUUUUUAACUGCCGAGCUAGAGUGUGUCAGAGGAGGUGGAAUUCCGCGUGCUUAGCAGUGAAAUGCGUAGAUAUGCGGAGGAACACACCUGUGACAGCCUCCUGGGAUAACACUGACGCUCAUGCACACGAAAGCGUGGGGAGCAAACAGGAUUAGAUACCCUGGUAGUCCACGCCCUAAACGAUGUCAACUAGCUGUUGGGGCCUUCGGGCCUUGGUAGCGCAGCUAACGCGUGAAGUUGACCGCCUGAGGCUGGUCAUAAGAUUAAAACUCAAAGGAAUUGACGGGGGCCCGCACAAGCGGUGGAUGAUGUGGAUUAAUUCGAUGCAACGCGAAAAACCUUACCUACCCUUGACAUGUCUGGAAUCCCGAAGAGAUUUGGGAGUGCUCUAUGAAGAGAACCGGAACACAGGUGCUACGCAUGGCUGUCGUCAGCUCGUGUCGUGAGAUGUUGGGUUAAGUCCGCAACCUUGAAGCACCAACCCUUGUCAUUAGUUGCUACUGAAAGGGCACUCUGAAGACCACUGGCGAGACUGCCGGUGACAAACCGGAGGAAGAGAAUUGAGGAUGACGUCAAGUCCUCAUGGCCCAUAUGGGUAGACUACACGUCAUACAAUGGUCGGGACAGAGGGGUCGCCAACCCGCGAGGGCCAAUCCCAGAAACCCGAUCGUAGUCCGGAUCGCAGUCUGCAGCUCGACUGCGUGGAAGUCGGAAUCGCUAGUAAUCGCGGAUCCAGCAUGUCGCGGUGAAUACGUUCGGGUCUUGUACACACCGCCACCGUCACACACCAUGGGAGUGGGUUUUACCAGAAGUAAUUAGCCUAACCGUAAGGAGAGAUUACCACGGUAGGAUUCAUGACUGGGGUGAAGUCGUAACGGGU